CGCCUYUUGAAUAAUUAACAUAAGAGGUCCCGCCUGCCCUGUGACUUAAUGUUUAACGGCCGCGGUAUUUUGACCGUGCAAAGGUAGCGCAAUCACUUGUCUUUUAAAUAAAGACCCGUAUGAAUGGCAUAACGAGGGCUUAACUGUCUCCUUUCCCCAGUCAAUGAAAUUUAUCUCCCCGUGCAGAAGCGGGGAUAAUAACACAAGACGAGAAGACCCUAUGAAGCUUUAAAUAAAUUAUGGAUGACACUAAUAAACUUAGUCAAAAGAACAAAUCAAGUCAAACCCAUAGAACAUUUUUGGUUGGGGCGACCGCGGAGCAAAAAGUAACCUCCGUGAGGAAUGGUUAUUAACCAUAACUAAGAAUUGCAAUUCUAAGUAUCAAAACAUUUGACCAAAAGAUCCGGUAAAACCGAUUAACGAACCGAGUUACUCUAGGGAUAACAGCGCAAUCUUCUCCAAGAGUCCUUAUCGACGAGAAGGUUUACGACCUCGAUGUUGGAUCAGGACAUCCUAAUGGUGCAACCGCUAUUAAGGGUUCGUUUGUUCAACGAUUAAAGUCCU
This 564-nucleotide ribosomal RNA is filed under the name Hippichthys heptagonus. RNAcentral's name for it is "partial 16S ribosomal RNA". It matches the Rfam family "Bacterial large subunit ribosomal RNA", at positions 1817 to 2597 of the family's 2925-position model. The record is from RNAcentral. Lineage: Eukaryota; Metazoa; Chordata; Actinopteri; Syngnathiformes; Syngnathidae.